AUCCGCGGAAUACGUGCACUUGCCUCUCAGGGGUUUCGACUUCGCUCGAGUGACGCUAUAAAUUUGCAGCGCCAAAGUGAUAAUGAAAGUGUUUCCUUCCGUUUUGGCCAAACAAUGUGCCAAGGCAAGCGAUGCCAGGCGGGAAAAAAACCCUAAGGAGAAGGGUACAACAAAAUACUUUAGCUAGGGCCACUGUUAAGAUACCCUCCUAUACGCGAGUGAAAAGUUUUUAAUAUGAUUUUCCCUUUUUAUUCGAAUUAUUUUAAUAAUAUAACUGUGUCACAGUGCAUGCGUAGCAUAUAUGAAAA
Molecule: non-coding RNA, 308 nt
Organism: Drosophila melanogaster (fruit fly)
Lineage: Eukaryota; Metazoa; Arthropoda; Insecta; Diptera; Drosophilidae
Source: Ensembl